Molecule: transfer RNA, 80 nt
Filed under: Lachnospiraceae bacterium
Lineage: Bacteria; Bacillati; Bacillota; Clostridia; Lachnospirales; Lachnospiraceae
Description: tRNA-Leu
Rfam family: tRNA
About the family: Transfer RNA (tRNA) molecules are approximately 80 nucleotides in length.
Source: RNAcentral
GCGAGCAUGGCGGAAUUGGCAGACGCGAUGGUUUUAGGUACCAUUGGGAGACCGUGCAGGUUCGAGUCCUGUUGCUCGCA